Molecule: ribosomal RNA, 254 nt
Filed under: uncultured bacterium
Lineage: Bacteria
Description: partial 16S ribosomal RNA
Rfam family: Bacterial small subunit ribosomal RNA
Source: RNAcentral
UACGUAGGGCGCAAGCGUUAUCCGGAAUUAUUGGGCGUAAAGAGCUCGUAGGCGGUUUGUCGCGUCUGCCGUGAAAGUCCGGGGCUCAACUCCGGAUCUGCGGUGGGUACGGGCAGACUAGAGUGAUGUAGGGGAGACUGGAAUUCCUGGUGUAGCGGUGAAAAUGCGCAGAUAUCAGGAGGAACACCGAUGGCGAAGGCAGAUCUCUGGGCCGUAACUGACGCUGAGGAGCGAAAGCAUGGGGAGCGAACAGG